Molecule: long non-coding RNA, 587 nt
Organism: Melanotaenia boesemani (Boeseman's rainbowfish)
Lineage: Eukaryota; Metazoa; Chordata; Actinopteri; Atheriniformes; Melanotaeniidae
Exons: 3
Source: RefSeq, a predicted model, not a curated record
GUCGCAGCCAGGUAGCAGCAAGCAGGCAUUUGCAUGCAGAAUGGGACACAGAGAUCAACAGGACAGAUUUAGUAUCAGUGAAUUCCCGGAAUAUCAGGAUUGUGAAGAUGCUGCCGCCAUGGCGCCGCCUGAAGAACUGAAGAGAACCUCUGGGAUCCUAGUGGCCAGGACACCAACAUGGCAGCCAGGCUGAACCUCCACACGCUGUGUUGCUUCACAGCGUCCUGGGACAAAGAUGUCAGCAGGAACCCAGCGCUCAGCCCUGGCAUCAUUCACAUCAGUGGCAACAUCCUGCAAGACAGGACCUGAGAACGUGGCCCAGUGGAAAUCCAUUACCAACCACAUUCAGACGGCCCAUGUCCAUGACGACCCUCUGUUCCCCAAGUCUGCUCAUCCUAACCAAGUUUCCAGAGACCCAAACAAUUGGUUUCAGCCGGGUUAGACACGGCAAUCCACAAAACCCGUCCUUUCUAAUGGCAUGCACGUCUGCCACACCCUCUGUUACCUUUGGUCUCUGGAACUGUCAGUCUGCAGUGAACAAAACAGAAUUUAUCAGUUCAUUGAUAAAUCUCUCAGACAUUCAGGUC